CCUACGGGAGGCUGCAGUGGGGGAUAUUGCACAAUGGGGGGAACCCUGAUGCAGCGAAGCCGCGUGGGUGAAGAAGCGCCUCUGCGUGGAAAGCCCUGUCUGCAGGGAAGAAAAUGACGGUACCUGAAGAAGAAGCCCCGGCUAACUACGUGCCAGCAGCCGCGAUAAUACGUCGGGGGCAAGCGUUAUCCGGAUUUAUUGGGUGUAAAGGGGGCGCAGUCGGGGAUGCAAGCCAGGAGUGAAAGCCCGGGGCCCAACCCCGGGACUGCGCUUGACACUGCGGGGCUGGAGUGCAGGAGGGGCAGGCGGAAUGCCUGGUGUAGCGGUGAAAUGCGUAGAUAUCAGGAAGAACACCGGUGGCGAAGGCAGCCUGCUGGACUGCAACUGACGUUGAGGCCCGAAAGCGUGGGGAGCAAACAGGAUUAGAUACCCGGGUAGUC
RNAcentral lists this ribosomal RNA (440 nucleotides) under uncultured bacterium. RNAcentral describes it as "partial 16S ribosomal RNA". It matches the Rfam family "Bacterial small subunit ribosomal RNA", at positions 338 to 795 of the family's 1533-position model. The record is from RNAcentral.